UUAAAAUUUAAUUUUUUUUAAUUGAUUAGUAUUAGAUAUAUUCUUGAAAAUAAAAAAUUUUGGCAGUAUUUUAGUCUAUUUAGAGGAACCUGUUUUUUAAUCGAUAUUCCACGAUUAAUUGUACUUAAUUUAAAAUUUAUAUAUCGUCGUUAUUAAAUAUUUUUUUAGAAUUAAUAUUUAAAAUUUUUAAUAAAAUAAAAUAUCAGAUCAAGGUGUAGUUAUAAUUAAGGUAAUAAUGGGUUACAAUAAAUUUAUUUAUACGGUUAGUAAUUGAAAUAUAAUUAUAAAGGUGGAUUUAAUAGUAAUUUUAAUAAUUUAAUUAAAAUGAUUUUUAGCACUAAAAUAUGU
RNAcentral lists this ribosomal RNA (348 nucleotides) under Ptilium myrmecophilum. RNAcentral describes it as "partial 12S ribosomal RNA". The record is from RNAcentral. Lineage: Eukaryota; Metazoa; Arthropoda; Insecta; Coleoptera; Ptiliidae.